RNAcentral lists this ribosomal RNA (465 nucleotides) under uncultured bacterium. RNAcentral's name for it is "partial 16S ribosomal RNA". It matches the Rfam family "Bacterial small subunit ribosomal RNA", at positions 338 to 795 of the family's 1533-position model. The record is from RNAcentral.
CCUACGGGUGGCUGCAGUGGGGAAUAUUGCGCAAUGGGCGAAAGCCUGACGCAGCGACGCCGCGUGAGGGAUGAAGGUCUUCGGAUCGUAAACCUCUGUCAGCAGGGAAGAACGGUCAAUGUGCUAAUCAGCAGUGAAUUGACGGUACCUGCAAAGGAAGCACCGGCUAACUCCGUGCCAGCAGCCGCGGUAAUACGGAGGGUGCGAGCGUUAAUCGGAAUUACUGGGCGUAAAGCGCUCGUAGGCGGGAUGUCAAGUCAAGGGUGAAAUCCCCGCGCUAAACGUGGGAACUGCCUUUGAAACUGGAAAACUGGAGUGUGUGAGAGGAUAGUGGAAUUCCAGGUGUAGGAGUGAAAUGCGUAGAUAUCAGGAGGAACAUCAGUGGCGAAGGCGACUAUCUGGCACAUAACUGACGCUGAGGAGCGAAAGCGUGGGUAGCAAACAGGAUUAGAUACCCGAGUAGUC